UUAGAAAGCUUGCACAUUCGCUAACUGCACUGUCAUUAAAUCUUUUUUUUUUAAAUCCCCUUUUCCACAGCAUUUUAUUGAGAGUAUUUCUGUUAAUCAUUUCACUUAAUUUAAAUAAUUUUUUCGCCACAGAACGUUUUAUAUCCAAUCCUGUGGUUUAACUGACACACAGCCAUCAACAUUAAGAUGCAAAUAUGAACACAUACAAAACGCAAUCAUAUGUACAUAUGUAUGUACAAAAACCGCAAGAAAUGAAACCCGACGACCUCGUAUUAAUUUGUUCCAGUGCUGUUUAAUUACAAUUAUAGCCACAGCUUAAAAACUAUUGUUUAUGUAUGUAUUAAGAGAUAUGUAUGUAUACACAUAUGUAAAUACACUAUACUAAGUCAUUAAAGGAAAUAAAAAAGAACAAUGAAAUUGAAAAUAAUAAAAACAAAAAUAUCGAAUCGCUUUCUAGUAUUUUCAUCAAUAUUGUAAAUGAAAGAGAGAAGGCAAGCAACCGCUAACGGUUGCCUUGCCAAUGACAGGUGAUGCAGCUAGUCAGAGGGUUAAAAAAAAUAAAAAAAUAAAAAUUUUAGGAUGAAUUAAAUGCGAUAUUAACUCAAAUUUGCACAUACACAAAUAAAGUCAUUGGCAUAUGGAGACGAUGUACAUAUGUAUGUAUAGCCAUAUACUCACUUUUGCAUAUUUCGGUUUUCGGAUUUCCACAAGCAACAAGAAAAUCAAUUAACUCGAAGCUGAAAUUUUCCCUAGUUUCUUGGCUUUUUUCUAUUUUCUUUAGUUUUUUCAGCGAUUUUUAUUUUUUUAUGGCUGAGUUGAGUUGCACUUUUUGCGAUUCGUCGCUGAUUUUUCUUCCAUUUGAUUUGUGAAACUUUCACCCGAAACAAGUCAACAACAAAUGUGCCAGAGCCAAAUGAUUAAAUUUUUCUAUACACCUUUACCUAUUUUUCUCCAUUUUUUGCAUAUGAGUGAGUUAGUUAGAGAGAGUGUUUGUGUUUGUAUGUACAUAAAUACAUAUGCUUUCCCAGGUCUCCGAAAAAUAAAAACCUGCCAGCUGACGUAAUCGCGAAGCAUAACAAAUAAAAAACAAAAAAAAAAAAAAAAUACAAAAAUAAAAGAUUUGGUGUAUAAAACAAAAGUUUUGUGAAUUGGGCGCGCGUGUGUCGCCGUCGUCAAGUUGAGUCAAUCAACAAAUACACACGGACACUACAUAGUCAGAUGUGCACACGAAACGACAGUAAAAACUCCUUAAAACGCAAGACAUUUAUUGUAUUCAUCUAGAAGAGAAAAUCUGAUUCCUAAGAAUGAUCUGUCAGAUCUAGUAGACAGUUUGUAGAUCUUUUUCUGUAGUUGUUCACACUAAAAAAAUUUAAAUAAUUCCAGGGUGAAAUAAAAUGAAUAAAAUCUGAGGAUUUACUGUUGAUUAAUACGUACAUAUGUAUGUAUGUACAUAAUUGUAAAUUGUUAAGCAGUUGUCGCACAAUCAGAAAAAAGCAAAGCAAAGAGAGCAAAAAGAUGAAAAAGACGAGGCGGAAAGAAAUUGAGAAUCACGAACAAAAAAAAAAAAGGGAAUGGUAAAAGAACACAUUAAAGAGCUAAAUCUAAAGACAUUUCUUACGAUUUUUAUCAUCUGGGUCAACCGAAAUAGAUAAGAAAAAUAAAUCGACAUAUGUAUAUCGAAUAAUUUGAAUCUGAAUAAUUUACAUUCUUAAUUUUCAACUAGACUCCCUCUAAUUGGACUUUAAUUCGCCAUUUCCGAUUAGGCGCAUUCUAUACAUAUCGCGUAAUUAAUUAGAAGAAAGAAGACGAAGCGAAAGGAAAGUAUAACUAAUUAGAAUGUUUCAAAGCUUUACGAGAUAAAACCAGGCAAAAUACCUCAAAUAUGCGACAAGCUUUCAACGUUUAUCGGUUUGUCUUUGCUUGUCGUUGGCCUUUUCUUGUUUCCCUUUUGAUAACGAACGGUGAGUAUGAAAAUUAAACAAAAGAAACCUACACAAAAAGCAUCGAGAACAAGAAAUAACAAAUUAACAUGCCGCGAAUAUAGAAACAAAACAAUGGCGAAAAAACAUAGUGAACCUUAUGUGGGAGAGCCAAAGAGGCCCAAAAACAAAACUGCACAAUGAAAAGUGGAGAGCAGCAGUGUUGCUCAACAUAAAUAGAUUUUUAUGUUUUGGGGUAAAUAUUUAUAGAAAAAGUUUAUGCAGUUUAUGUAGUCAAAAAGCGCUGAAGCUAAUUUCUAAAAAUUAUACCUGUUCGUGCAACAAAAUUGGCUUUUUAUUCAUUACCGUCUAAAAAGUAAAGUUUACCGUAAUAUAGGUAAAUGCUAAUUGUCAAUUGCAUUUGUGUUAAAAAUAGCUAUAUCUGGCGGGGAAAACCGCUGAGCUAACAGCACUGUCACUCUCGCAAAGUCGCGAGAAAUCGACGGCGUCUAAUUAUGCUGCAACAACAAAUACAACUAAACAAGAACAGGCAAAGGUGGUGAGAGAAGGGGAGAAGAGAGAAAGAGAGCGACCCAGUCAGUGGAAAAUAGACAGCGACCCACGACAACAAAAAACGCAGCGAGUGGUGAAGAACGAGUUGCUCUCGCCUCCUUUCUUUUUCACACCCUCCCCUUCUUUUUUUUUUGGAUAACUUUAAAAACAGUUUAAUUUACUAUUUGAGCAAACGCGAAAUGCAAAACAAUCAGCACACACAUACACACACAAACACUCGCAAAUAAAGAAAUUGAACAACAAAAUAACGAAAACAGAGAAAAGAGUGUCGGAAUAAAUUAAAUAAAAGGCAACUGACGUUUGACGAUGUGUCGUCGAUUUCGUUUUGCGUUUUUAUUCGCCGUUUCCCUUCCUUGCUUCUUUUGCUUUCCUCUUUGGUUUGCGCUUCGUUUCGGCUGCGCGUGUUUUUCGUUUCAGUUAUUAUUGAGACUAAAAAUGCGGCGUGAGAUUUGAUUGUGAGUAAGCGCAACGCAAAGAGCAAAUCGUCAAAGCGGCGACGCUGGCAGAGGCAGCAACGUCGGCAGAGUACGGCUCACACAAAAAAAAAAAAUAGAAAACCGUACUAA
Drosophila yakuba is the source of this 3058-nucleotide long non-coding RNA. RefSeq lists it as uncharacterized. The transcript has 2 exons. The record is from RefSeq and is a predicted model, not a curated record. NCBI's taxonomy places the organism in Eukaryota, Metazoa, Arthropoda, Insecta, Diptera, Drosophilidae.